Molecule: long non-coding RNA, 644 nt
Filed under: Sorghum bicolor (sorghum)
Lineage: Eukaryota; Viridiplantae; Streptophyta; Magnoliopsida; Poales; Poaceae
Description: long non-coding RNA (SBIC_LNC018771)
Source: RNAcentral
CUGUGAUGAAAGGAUGUUGAGAACUGUUACCUAUUAAUUGUAUUAUUAUGUGGCGGCUGUGGCUAUGGACUUUUGUCACUAACUGUGCCGCUGGUUUUGCUUUGGAUUGUACAAAAAGUGGACUGAUCUGACGUGCUGUUUGAUAGAAUUGUUCUCUCAUGUGAUGCUUUUAUGCUUUCUUUACGUAAUAUUCUUCCCCUUUUAAUUUCUAUACAUAUUUUUUAUAUCAUUUUUACUCUUUUUCUUCCACUGUACAUGAAGAUUUCUGAUUUUUUUAUGGGACAUGAUUUUUUUCUAUUUUUUCUCAAGGUGAUUUCCGAUAUUAGUUUGGUAGUUUUGUUUGUUUUGGUGGGGUUAUAUUUAUUUGAUUCAAGGUUGGACUAAACUCAUUUAAAUUUUACAAAAAUGUACAAUUAUCAAAUAAUAAAUUCUAUACCCCGUUGCAACGUACGGGCAUGUUUUGCUAGUAUAUAUCUAUACCUAUCUAUAAAGAGCCAAAAUUUCAGUUUGCUAAAUAUUUUCUUUUGCCCCCUAAUCCUGUUAGUGCCCCCUAAUCCUGUUAGUGUUCUGUUUGGUUUACCGAUGGCUUCCUCGCUCCAACGUUUCUAAAGGGGUAAAACAAAAUAAAAAACAUUCUAGGGUUC